This 183-nucleotide small RNA is filed under the name uncultured Prevotella sp. RNAcentral describes it as "Bacteroidales-1 6S-Bacteroidales RNA suggested". It matches the Rfam family "Bacteroidales-1 6S-Bacteroidales RNA suggested". Lineage: Bacteria; Pseudomonadati; Bacteroidota; Bacteroidia; Bacteroidales; Prevotellaceae. The record is from RNAcentral.
UCGUGCCAGUUUGAUCGGGAUACUCAUCAAUAAAAAAAUCGAAACCGAGAAAGUUUCUUUUGCCAAUGGCGGGCCAUAUAAACCCCUUAAUGGGACUAAGCUGUAAAGCCGGUGGAUUACAAAGGCGGAGAGCUCUCAAAUCUUGUAUACUCGGAGUUUCAUCACAUCACUGGGCGACCUGUU